GGCCCGAGCGCGGCUCCGCUCGGCUCGGGGGCGGCUCCCGCGGAGCCCUCGGCCGCGGCCGGGCACGAUGUCGGCCGGGCUGGGGCCGUGGCUGCUGGGCUUGGCCUUGGCCUUGGGGCCGGCAGGGCUGUGGGCACAGUGGAGGCUGGAGGAGGCCGGCGGAGGGCACCGAGCUCCCGGGGAUUCCGUGCUCCUCUCCUGCCGCGGGUCCGGAUUCAACUUUGGGCUUUAUAUCGUUUACUGGUACCGUCAGGCACCCGGAGGCAGACCCGAGUGGGUGUCUUCCAUCAGCACCGAUUCCUCUGUCAGUCGAAACGGGACAGCAAUGGAGGGUCGAGCCUUGGUGUCGAGAGACAAUUCCCAGUCCAAGUCAUCCCUGUCCUUGUGGGCCCUGCAGCCCCGGGACUCUGCCCGAUAUUUCUGUGCUGUUCCCACGAGGACAGGAAACCCAGCUGAGCUUUAACAUAAACCUGCUGAGGCCUGGCACAGGGUCCAUGGCAUUUUGAGAUGGAGAAUUUUGAGGUGGUUCAGGGCUGUUCCCAAGGAAUCAGGGGCCAUCACUGUUCUCUGCAGGCAGUUUUGGCUUUUCUUCCAGAGCUUCUUUCCCCAGAAUGAUAAAUGGCAUAUCCUGAGUCCCAAAUACAAUGUUUUAUUCCAUAGAAGUGGUUCAAAGUGCUUCUGUCACCCAGCCAGCCUAGUCAUUCUGCCUGGCUCCAGCCCCUCUCUGCCUUCCUUUGAUCCCCUUCUUCUGUGGGGCACCCAAAGCACCUGAGCUUUAACAACACCUUUGCCUGCUUUCUUUGACCCUUUUGGGCCAUCUCCUGGCACCAGGAAGAGCAAAGUAGCGACGGAACAGGCCUGCUUUUGUUUCAGAUGCAUUUUGGGGUGAUGAGAUCCAACCAACAAGGUCUGCAGUGUGGUGGCCAGCAGGGAAUACUGGGACCUUACGAUGCACUUACAGCUCCAAUGCCUCCUACAUUUACGUGGCCUGGUAUCAGCAGCGUCCUGGUGGACCCCUGCAGUACUUGCUGCAGUGCCAGGGCCAUGGAGGCUCCUACAGCCACACAGCCCCUUUUGCCCACAGGAGGUUUUCCUGCCAGGCUGACAAGAGCUCUGGGACAGUGAGCAUCACUGGGCUGGAGCAGAGGGACAGUGCAUCCUAUUACUGCAGCCUGGAGGCACCACAGCGAGAGGCACCCGGGGUGUGCCUCAACAACAUCAGCUUCCUCCCCUGCUGCCUCCCCUCCUGCAUGUUCAGGUAGGACACAGGCCCUGCAAGGGGGGAGUCAGUGAGUGGGCUGUGCCUGCGGUCAGAGAAAUGGGGUCUCGUUGUGCCUGGGUGCUCCCAGUGGAAAGGAGGGGAGGGAAGGGCAGGGGAGAGGCAAGAGAAGAGCAUUUCAAUUGAAAGGGAGCUACAAUGACCAUCUAGUCCAACUGUCUGACUACCUUCAGAUUUGAACUAAAAUAAAAGCAUGUUUCAAA
This is a non-coding RNA of Chiroxiphia lanceolata (lance-tailed manakin), 1482 nucleotides long. NCBI's taxonomy places the organism in Eukaryota, Metazoa, Chordata, Aves, Passeriformes, Pipridae. The record is from the annotation of a RefSeq genome assembly.